Molecule: long non-coding RNA, 247 nt
Organism: Arabidopsis thaliana (thale cress)
Lineage: Eukaryota; Viridiplantae; Streptophyta; Magnoliopsida; Brassicales; Brassicaceae
Product: other RNA
Exons: 1
Source: RefSeq
GAAACUCUAGUAAUUACUACUACUGUUGGAGUGAAUUAUGUUUUUGACUCAAAAAUAGAAAAGAAUUAUUGAAGUUAUUAUAUAGGUGACCAAAGGUUUUUAAGUUAGUAAAAAGUUGUAACUUUGGCGCCCGGCUCUUGUAGCGCACUGGUCUGCGAUGGUACAUUAAUGUGCAACGUGUGAUUAGUUCGAAGCUCGAGCUGGGCGAAAAGAGAAAAGAGAGAGCCAGUGAAAGCAUAGCAGCAGC